RNAcentral lists this transfer RNA (72 nucleotides) under Loxodonta africana (African savanna elephant). It matches the Rfam family "tRNA". Rfam says of the family: Transfer RNA (tRNA) molecules are approximately 80 nucleotides in length. Their secondary structure includes four short double-helical elements and three loops (D, anti-codon, and T loops). The record is from Rfam by way of RNAcentral. Lineage: Eukaryota; Metazoa; Chordata; Mammalia; Proboscidea; Elephantidae.
GCCCCGGUGGCUCAAGGGUUAAGCGCUUGGCUGCUAACCAAAAGGUUGGUGGUUCAAACCCAUCAAGCAGCA